Non-coding RNA from Leptonychotes weddellii (Weddell seal), 1001 nucleotides. The record is from RefSeq and is a predicted model, not a curated record. Lineage: Eukaryota; Metazoa; Chordata; Mammalia; Carnivora; Phocidae.
CACAGAGAGACACAUGGACACACAUCUAAAGUAAGUCAUACGUCAGCCUGGCUAAUGAUGCACUGUGUCACCUACAAUCAAUAAAAACCUCUUGUUAACAUUAUUUAUGGAAUAAUACUUCUUCCAGCUAUGAUGAAAGAAAAAGGAAAAUGGAAAAAGACUACCCAAAGAACACAGAAGAGGAAUUCUCAGGAGUUAAUGGCCAAAUAGAUGCCGCCGUGGAACUAAAUGGCUACAUUUACUUCUUUUCAGGACCAAAAGCGUACAAGUAUGAUACAGAGAAGGAGGAUGUGGUCAGUGUGCUGAAAUCUAGCUCCUGGAUUGGCUGCUAAUCAGAAAGGUCUAGUGUUUUCUGGGGAGUGUUCAUGACCACCAGCAGCUGGUCCCUGGACCGCAAGGACUAAAGCAGGAUGUAGGAUAGGGAUUCUUCCCACGGCCUUCAAUCCUAAGGGCAACUUAGAGUUCAUCGAAAAGAAUUAAGCUUCUAAAUGUUGUCAUGGUUGCAGAUUCAUAAAUCUAAUCUAAAUGGGCAAUUUCCGUAUGGUCAGCUUCACAUAAAAUCAGAAUUGACACAAUGCUCUCUUCCAUGAGACACCCACUGCCUUUUUUUUCUUACCUAAUAUAUGGAGGCAAAUUGAUAAAUUUGGUUUUUGUUACCAAGAAGACACCUAUUUGUGGAUUCCCUACAUGCAUUAUAACUCUAAUAGGCAACAUCAUUGCCGUACAAACUGUAAUUACUCUUUAUAAGCAGUGGCUUUUGUGGCCUCUGCAUUCAUUGUGAUGAAUACAAAUCUGUCUGUCUUUACCUUGGACACAUCACAAACAAAAUACCGUGUAAAUCUUGUUUCUCGUUGUUUGUUGAUUAGCUCCAUGUACUCACUGGUCUUUGAAGUAGGUCAUAGCAGGCAAACCUAUUCAAAUGAAUUUUCACGCUAGGCAAGAGAUGGACACUUGGCAAGAGGAAAACUUUUAACAAAAGCCAAUAAAAAUGUCUAAGAACA